This 76-nucleotide transfer RNA is filed under the name Tenericutes bacterium ADurb.Bin239. Its description in RNAcentral is "tRNA-Arg". It matches the Rfam family "tRNA". Rfam says of the family: Transfer RNA (tRNA) molecules are approximately 80 nucleotides in length. Their secondary structure includes four short double-helical elements and three loops (D, anti-codon, and T loops). The record is from RNAcentral. RNAcentral also lists the same sequence under 3 other names. Lineage: Bacteria; Bacillati; Mycoplasmatota.
GCGCUGGUAGCUCAGUGGAUAGAGCAAUCGCCUCCUAAGCGGUAGGUCGGAGGUUUGAAUCCUCCCCAGUGCGCCA